CUGAUGAGGCCCUUCCCGUUUCCCGUUCGAUGUAAUUUUUAUACCACUGUGACCACCGUCCUUUUCUCUACAAGUUGACAGGAGCAAAAUACCGAAUCGUAACUCAUGCCAGAGGAGCUGCCGUACCCAAGAGCUUCGCUGCUAGUAAAUCUCGAUUUUUUGGAAUUUUUUGGCCCACCGAGGGCCCUAGGGGUGUUUUAUCACAGGAACCAAU
RNAcentral lists this long non-coding RNA (214 nucleotides) under Carica papaya (papaya). RNAcentral describes it as "long non-coding RNA (CPAP_LNC002440)". Lineage: Eukaryota; Viridiplantae; Streptophyta; Magnoliopsida; Brassicales; Caricaceae. The record is from RNAcentral.